This 39-nucleotide transfer RNA is filed under the name Itapotihyla langsdorffii (ocellated treefrog). RNAcentral's name for it is "partial tRNA-Gln". The record is from RNAcentral. Lineage: Eukaryota; Metazoa; Chordata; Amphibia; Anura; Hylidae.
AAAGAGUUUUGAUCUCUUAAUUGCAGGUUCAAUUCCUGU